This 317-nucleotide long non-coding RNA is filed under the name Aotus nancymaae (Ma's night monkey). RNAcentral's name for it is "lncRNA (ENSANAG00000039180.1)". Lineage: Eukaryota; Metazoa; Chordata; Mammalia; Primates; Aotidae. The record is from RNAcentral.
GUGUUUAGAUGUAUGUGUUGCCUCAUGAAUUCAACACUUUUUUGUCUCUAUUCCAAGGUCCAGAGGUCAGACGUUUAACUACUGGCUGGAAUGGUGGAAAGGGGGAAUGUAAGGAGAAAAGCCGGCCAUCGCAUGACACAACUAUAAACCGAAGCUGAAAUAUAUGCCUUUCGGAUGCUUUUUUUCUUCAUGAGAGGUUUUUCUAGAAUAUAUCACCGGCAACUAUGGUGAUGACAGCUUCUGUAACAUCCUUUCAUCGUUUCAAAAGGUAACCACUUUAGCUUUGUCUCAUUACACCAUAAUUCCUGAGUGCUGGU